Molecule: ribosomal RNA, 451 nt
Filed under: uncultured bacterium
Lineage: Bacteria
Description: bacterial SSU rRNA
Rfam family: Bacterial small subunit ribosomal RNA
Source: RNAcentral
GAGCGGUAACAGGUGUAGCAAUACAUGCUGACGAGCGGCGAACGGGUGAGUAAUGCUUCGGAAUCUACCUUAUGGUGGGGAAUAACUAGCCGAAAGGUUAGCUAAUACCGCAUACGUCCUACGGGAGAAAGCAGGGGAUCGCAAGACCUUGCGCCAAAAGAUGAGCCGAAGUCGGAUUAGCUAGUUGGUAGGGUAACGGCCUACCAAGGCGACGAUCCGUAGCUGGUCUGAGAGGACGACCAGCCACACUGGGACUGAGACACGGCCCAGACUCCUACGGGAGGCAGCAGUGGGGAAUAUUGGACAAUGGGGGAAACCCUGAUCCAGCGACGCCGCGUGUGUGAAGAAGGCCUGCGGGUUGUAAAGCACUUUUAGUGGGGAUGAAAUGUGCAGGGCUAACACCUAUGCAUUUUGACCUACACCCACAGAAAAAGCACCGGCUAACUAUGUG